CGAGACUCUGUCUCUCUGCCUCGACCUCCAUUCGCGACUUUGUCUUCUCUCUUUUCGGUUCUCUUCUUCUUUUGUUGGUGGCUCGUCGGAGCUCAUGCUCAUCAAUUGAGAUUUUAAAAUCUCUCAGUAUUGAACAUUUGAACUCUCCAUUUCAAUGGAUCCUGCUAAUGAGGUAGCCGAUCGUGAUGUUCCCAUUUC
This is a long non-coding RNA of Arachis stenosperma, 198 nucleotides long. RefSeq lists it as uncharacterized. The transcript is spliced from 3 exons. NCBI's taxonomy places the organism in Eukaryota, Viridiplantae, Streptophyta, Magnoliopsida, Fabales, Fabaceae. The record is from RefSeq and is a predicted model, not a curated record.